Non-coding RNA from Gossypium raimondii (Peruvian cotton), 107 nucleotides. The record is from Rfam. NCBI's taxonomy places the organism in Eukaryota, Viridiplantae, Streptophyta, Magnoliopsida, Malvales, Malvaceae.
AAGCCAUGGUGUGGGCACUUUCUAAGAAGUUCAUUGUACCUUUCCCAUGCAUUAUACAUAGUCUCCCCAUCAAAUUGAGUGAAACUGUAAAUAUCCCUCAAAAGUUU